RNAcentral lists this small RNA (292 nucleotides) under Pongo abelii (Sumatran orangutan). RNAcentral describes it as "sense overlapping". The record is from RNAcentral. Lineage: Eukaryota; Metazoa; Chordata; Mammalia; Primates; Hominidae.
AUGAUAGUGUCGAACCAAGUGGAACAAAGAAAGAAGAUCUGAAUGACAAAAAGAAAAAAGAUGAAGAAGAAACUCCUGCACCUGUAUAUAGGGCCAAGUCAAUUCUGGACAGCUGGGUAUGGGGCAAGCAACCAGGUAAUCUUCUGAGUUUUGGCACUUUGAAAAGCUUGAUCUGAUGCUCCUUUUCUAAAUGACUUGGAUGGAUUAUUUGUAUUUUUUCAUAACAAUUUAAAAAAUGUAAUUAAAAAAAUUUACAUAUUGUGGUAAAAUAUACAUACCAUAAAACUUGCCG